AUGCAUCAUAUCCCUUCCUGUCUCCCAUGGCUUAGCCGUCAUCACAGGAACCUUCUCAGACACUCUGCGAGUGAUCAUGAUGUCCACAUGAAAUCCAGCAGGACCGAGCACGAAACCCGGCUCUGCAGCCCUGCAGUCACUGAGAUGACUAACACUGUCAACUGGAUGGGAUCUUACAUCACCUAGGAGACAAGCCUCUGGCUGUGCCUUUGUGGGAUGGUCUGGCUAGGUGAACUGAGUUUGGAAGACCCACCUUAACCAUCCCAUGGCACCAGCCCAUGGCCUGGACUCCUGGACAGAUAGAAAGGAGACAGUGAACCGGGUCCUAGCAUCCAUCAUGCGCUGCACCCUGACUGUUGAUGGAAUAUGACCAGCUGUCUCUGGGUCCUACUAUUCUGCUUCCCUACCUCCUUGGGCGCAUGUCCUUAAACCAAAACCCCCAAAUAGACCCUUCCCCCUUUACAUUGUUGUUUUGUUUGCUUGUUUUAUUUUGUUAGGGUAUUUUAUCUCAGCUACAGGAGAGAUGAUCAAGACAAUCAUCCAGUUUACACUUGUCACAAGAGCAGUCCUUUGCCCUGGACGACAGUCCUCCGCGUGUCCUGUUCUCUAGCUUGCUAGAAAAAUUCUCUGGGAAUGUCAGUUCACUCCCUGUCUUUUGUGACCACAUAUUCUCCUCUAGGACACCUGCUUUGCUUGUCUGGAGGGUGCAUGUGAGUGGCUAUAGGAGGGGAUCUCAAAGGCUGACCCCCUGGGUCUUUUGUAUGUGUGGAAUCCCUUCUCCCACCCACCCCCAACUUGGUUAGUUUAUCUAGAAUUCUGGGCUUGGGGUUAUUUUUCCAGAGUGUUGACUCAGAACAUACUGUUUGGUGGUGACUGGGAGGCCAUGGCUUUGUAGGGGGCCAGCAUUGCUCCUCACUGGUUUGGUGGCUUUUAGUGUCUCCUUAAUCCUCAGUGUUUUCUCAGUUCUCUUUGGGAUGUGAGGGGCUUUGACUUCAUUUCUCAGCUUUGAGUUGUAAGGGGGGAGGUAUGUGUGGCCUCAUUUUAUAACUUUUACAAGUUCCAGACAGUUAUCUUUUCUGGUUUUUCUUUGUUGUUAUCUCCUGUUCAUAUUCUGCACACUGAUUUCCUAGAGUCUGUAAAUGGAAGGUCCACCCACUGGAUUGAUCUUUUCUGGCCCUCCCCACCC
Molecule: long non-coding RNA, 1186 nt
Filed under: Mus spicilegus (steppe mouse)
Lineage: Eukaryota; Metazoa; Chordata; Mammalia; Rodentia; Muridae
Description: lncRNA (ENSMSIG00000006844.1)
Source: RNAcentral